Long non-coding RNA from Oncorhynchus masou masou (cherry salmon), 2388 nucleotides. RefSeq lists it as uncharacterized. The record is from RefSeq and is a predicted model, not a curated record. The transcript has 2 exons. NCBI's taxonomy places the organism in Eukaryota, Metazoa, Chordata, Actinopteri, Salmoniformes, Salmonidae.
AAAACUCAACACGAAAAUGGCUCAUUUGACGCUGCUGGCGCAGGGAGACGUUUCUCCCCCACUCAAUCGGAUAGGGUAUGAACUUUGGCAGCGCCACCAUGCCGAUUUGGACGACAAUAUCAAGUUUUAGAAAUGGACAGAGGGGACCAGUACCAUCGAAUAAUGCAGUCCCUGUCUAUGAGGAGGACACUGAUGGCAAAUGAGCUGCGGGUCAUUGCCGCACAAGUCCUGUAGGAUGAGGAAGACAAUGAAGACAUGGCCUUCUUAAAGGAAGAUACCCUAUGAUGCGGAGCUACUCUGAGAAGAGUAAUGAGAUCAAGGAGCCAGAGGAAGUGGAGCCACCAGCUGAGGCCUCUCAGCCAAGCUCUUCAACUGGAAGGUAACUAUAGAUGUGUUAUUGUUAGAUUUAUCAGGCCCGAUAAUAGAUAUCUAAAGGACAGUUUUUUUUUUAAAUAUAUUGAGCAUACUAACAAUUUAUUUAUUUUCUCUCGUCUUGUCUCUUAAGUCUUUCUGUUCGUGCUCCACUUCCCGUUAGCGUAAAUGCUCUGUCUUGCCCGAUAGCAUGUUUCAGUCCUAUGGUGAUGUUGAUACAGAGGCACCAGAGUCCAUCUCUUUCAGGCCUGAACAUCCAGCAGGUUUAAGUCUUGGCAGUGUACGUCAGGCAGUUCGGUCGACGGCUCAGGAUAGACUAAGGGCGAUAGACUUCUUCUUCUUCUUGUUUUUCAUGCAGGUGGUGGUGGUUUGUGGGUUCCCAAAUAGUCACGGUUGGGGUCUUGUUUUGGGAGUGCCCGUUGUAUGGUGAUUCCGUCAAAGCAUGGCUUGAGGUUUCUUGGACUGCUCGUUUACAUGGGAUUUACCGAACUGCCGGACCUUCAUCGGUACUGGGGUGCAAAGUCUCUUCAGGGCUCUCUUGGGCUAGAGCUUUAAUGUUGCGUAAUCGCUUCAAAGCUCUGUUGGCUGCUUUACACGUUGUGGAUCCUGCCACUGAGGAUAAUGCAGAUAGGCUUAUAAAACUGCAGUCCUUUCCUGGACCACCUGAAACAGACCUGUAAAAAGCCAAAGCGAAGUGUAGACCUAGAUGAGUGCAUGUUCAAAUCAAAGGGGCGAUCAGGAUUCAAGCAGUAUUUGAAAGGGUGGCCAACUAGGUGGGGAAUUUAGAUGAUGGGUCAUUGCUUCAUCUGACACAGGCUACACUUCAGGUUUUAAAGGUUUACAUAUGGGGAUAUGUGUUGGCGUAGGAUAGGGGGCAAUGUAUUUGCCAUGCAGUAGAGAGACACACGUACUGUUACUUGCCUUCCCAAUUUUUCCCAAUGUAAAUGAUUCCAGUCAAGUAUAGGAAGGUGGUCCGCCAGCCUCCUGUAAUCCACGAUUACAACAGACAUAUGGGAGGGGUUGACAGGUUUGAUAAGUUCAAAUUUGAUCUGUUGAUCAACUCCUCCAUUGUUUAGCAGAACACCCAGAAGUGGUGGGAAACACCCCCACCCCCACUGUGUUGAUAUUGCAGUCAUCAACAGUUAACUUUUGUUGCAGGAUUGGUAGCGUAAUCACGCAGCACCUGGCAAGGCAAAUGAGCAAAUUGGUUACUGCCAGAUUGCGUUCAGAGACGCUUUCUCAUCAGUCAGGAGGUAAUUGUGUUAAUGACCGGUAUCUUUUGACAGACCUUUGUCUGUGAAAACUGUAAGCUCAUCUUUUCACACACAGCACGUGCCCAGUCUACAGGCGCCCUCUAUAAAUUGCUGGCUAUGUUUCUUGUGUCACAGGAAAGAUAAAAGAGAACACGACCCGGUUUGUUUGUGUGGCAUAUGAUUUUGCAUCGUGGAGGACCGACAUUGUUUUAGGUUGUGGCACUCAUCUGAGUUUGACUAAUAGCAGAAAUGGGCACUAGUAAAGGGACUCGGAUGUAGCCCAGAUGUUCACUAGUAAUUUUGCCUCUCUUGCAUGUUUCCUUUUCCUGCAUGUCCCUUCACCUGCAUGUCCUUUCUUCCUUGGAUGUUUUCCCAGUCUUUUCUGAGACAUCCUGCAUGCCAGCCUCCCUUUAUGUUUCAUUCAUGAUUCUAAUGGCCUUGGGGAUGUAAAGGACUUGUAAAUUGUAAUGAGUGUAAAAUAAUGUUGCGCUUUUGGAAUUGUUCCUGUACUGACUAUUUGUGUAAUAGAGUAAAUGCUAGUUGAAUGUAGAAAUGGAAGUUGUAAAAGCUAAUAAUUAUUGUUAAAUGCCUUAUUUGUUCAUAUUUUGUCAUUCCAGUUCAAUUCUGAUGAAAGUAGCCCUGAAAUGAAUGUUGUGUUAUGGUUAUGAUAGCGGUUUUAAAUGGCUUUAUUUUCAGGUUUGAAUGAGAUAAUGUAUUCUGCUAAGAUUAUUCUUUCAAUAAAGUUCUUGUUUUAUUAAUAUUA